This 397-nucleotide ribosomal RNA is filed under the name uncultured bacterium. Its description in RNAcentral is "partial 16S ribosomal RNA". It matches the Rfam family "Bacterial small subunit ribosomal RNA", at positions 523 to 918 of the family's 1533-position model. The record is from RNAcentral.
AUACGUAGGGGGCGAGCGUUGUCCGGAAUGACUGGGCGUAAAGGGCGUGUAGGCGGCUUUAUAAGUCUGGAGUGAAAGUCCUGCUUUCAAGGUGGGAAUUGCUUUGGAGACUGUAGAGCUUGAGUGCGGAAGAGGUAAGUGGAAUUCCCAGUGUAGCGGUGAAAUGCGUAGAGAUUGGGAGGAACACCAGUGGCGAAGGCGACUUACUGGGCCGUAACUGGCGCUGAGGCGCGAAAGCGUGGGGAGCGAACAGGAUUAGAUCCCCUGGUAGUCCACGCUGUAAACGAUGAAUGCUAGGUGUAGCGGGUAUCGACCCCUGCUGUGCGGCAGUAAACACAAUAAGCAUUCCGCCUGGGGAGUACGGCCGCAAGGUUGAAACUCAAAUGAAUUGACGGGG